GGGGAAUUUUCCGCAAUGGGCGAAAGCCUGACGGAGCAAUACCGCGUGAGGGAGGAAGGCUCUUGGGCCGUAAACCUCUUUUCUCAGGGAAGAACACAAUGACGGUACCUGAGGAAUAAGCAUCGGCUAACUCCGUGCCAGCAGCCGCGGUAAUACGGAGGAUGCAAGCGUUAUCCGGAAUGAUUGGGCGUAAAGCGUCCGCAGGUGGUUUGUCAAGUCUGCUGUCAAAGCGUGGAGCUUAACUCCACACAGGCAGUGGAAACUGAUGAGCUAGAGUUCGGUAGGGGUAGCGGGAAUUCCCAGUGUAGCGGUGAAAUGCGUAGAUAUUGGGAAGAACACCGGCGGCGAAAGCGCGCUACUGGGCCGAGACUGACACUGAGGGACGAAAGCUAGGGGAGCG
RNAcentral lists this ribosomal RNA (400 nucleotides) under uncultured cyanobacterium. Its description in RNAcentral is "bacterial SSU rRNA". It matches the Rfam family "Bacterial small subunit ribosomal RNA", at positions 356 to 770 of the family's 1533-position model. Lineage: Bacteria; Bacillati; Cyanobacteriota. The record is from RNAcentral.